This 345-nucleotide RNase P RNA is filed under the name uncultured Lawsonibacter sp. RNAcentral describes it as "Bacterial RNase P class A". It matches the Rfam family "Bacterial RNase P class A". Rfam says of the family: Ribonuclease P (RNase P) is a ubiquitous endoribonuclease, found in archaea, bacteria and eukarya as well as chloroplasts and mitochondria. The record is from RNAcentral. Lineage: Bacteria; Bacillati; Bacillota; Clostridia; Eubacteriales; Oscillospiraceae.
CAAGCUGGACAGCCGCGCGGGCGGGGCGAAAGGCCCGUCUGUGAGGAAAGUCCGGGCUCCACAGGGCAAGGAUAACGGAUAACAUCCGCCGGGGGCGACCCUAGGAAAAGUGCAACAGAGAUAUACCGCUGGCGGCUUGCCGCCAGUAAGGGUGGAAAGGCGAGGUAAGAGCUCACCCGAUGGCUGGGAACAGCCCAUCGCUGUAAACUCUAUCCGGAGCAACGCCGUGGAGGGACAAUAGGUUGGCCCGACCGUCCCGGGGAGGCGGCUGGAGCGCGUCGGCAACGGCGCGUCGAGAUAGAUGGCUGUCUUAAAAGACAGAACCCGGCUUACAGGCUUACUUGU